AAAACAAGAAACUUAAAGGAAUUGACGGGGGCCCGCACAAGCGGCGGAGCAUGCGGAUUAAUUCGAUGCAACGCGAAGAACCUUACCAAGGCUUGACAUGAACCGGACCGCUGCAGAAAUGUGGUUUCCCCUUUGGGGCUGGUUUACAGGUGGUGCAUGGUUGUCGUCAGCUCGUGUCGUGAGAUGUUGGGUUAAGUCCCGCAACGAGCGCAACCCUCGUUCUAUGUUGCCAGCACGUGAUGGUGGGGACUCAUAGGAGACUGCCGGGGUCAACUCGGAGGAAGGUGGGGACGACGUCAAAUCAUCAUGCCCCUUAUGUCUUGGGCUUCACGCAUGCUAC
This 340-nucleotide ribosomal RNA is filed under the name uncultured bacterium. RNAcentral's name for it is "bacterial SSU rRNA". It matches the Rfam family "Bacterial small subunit ribosomal RNA", at positions 889 to 1228 of the family's 1533-position model. The record is from RNAcentral.